AGGUCAUCUCAUCUGGAAGGAGAGAUGGCUUAAAGGGGUACGCGGGCUUCUUCCGCGAAUCUGCUCCAGGAUGGGACUGCGUCCGAUCAGGCUGUUGGCGGGGUAAUGGCCCACCAAACCUGUAACCGGUACGGGCCUUGAGAGAGGUGGCCCGGAGAUGGACACUGAGAGAAGGGUCCAGGUCCUACGGGGCGCAGCAGGCGCGAAACCUUCGCAAUGCGCGAAAGCGUGACGAGGUUAAUCCGAGUGACUCCCGCUGAGGGGGUCUUUUGUCAGCUGUAAAUAGGCAGGCGAAUAAGGGGAGGGCAAGCCUGGUGUCAGCCGCCGCGGUAAUACCAGCUCCUCGAGUGGUCGGGGCGAUUAUUGGGCCUAAAGCAUCCGUAGCCGGUUCCGUAGGUCCUCUGUUAAAUCCAACCGCUUAACGGUUGACCUGCAGAGGAUACCGCGGGACUAGGAGGCGGGAGAGGCGGACGGUACUCCGCGUGUAGGGGUAAAAUCCUUUGAUCCGCGGAAGGCCACCAGUGGCGAAGGCGGUCCGCAGAACGCGCUCGACGGUGAGGGAUGAAAGCUGGGGGAGCGAACCGGAUUAGAUACCCGGUA
RNAcentral lists this ribosomal RNA (600 nucleotides) under uncultured archaeon. Its description in RNAcentral is "bacterial SSU rRNA". It matches the Rfam family "Archaeal small subunit ribosomal RNA", at positions 156 to 742 of the family's 1478-position model. The record is from RNAcentral.